AUUGAACGCUGGCGGCAUGCCUUACACAUGCAAGUCGAACGGUAACAGGUCUUCGGAUGCUGACGAGUGGCGAACGGGUGAGUAAUACAUCGGAACGUGCCUAGUAGUGGGGGAUAACUACUCGAAAGAGUGGCUAAUACCGCAUGAGAUCUACGGAUGAAAGCAGGGGAUCGCAAGACCUUGUGCUACUAGAGCGGCCGAUGGCAGAUUAGGUAGUUGGUGGGAUAAAAGCUUACCAAGCCGACGAUCUGUAGCUGGUCUGAGAGGACGAUCAGCCACACUGGGAAUGCGACACGGCCCAGACGCCUACGGGAGGCAGCAGUGGGGAAUUUUGGACAAUGGGCGAAAGCCUGAUCCAGCAAUGCCGCGUGCAGGAUGAAGGCCUUCGGGUUGUAAACUGCUUUUGUACGGAACGAAAAGCCCUGGGUUAAUACCCUGGGGUCAUGACGGUACCGUAAGAAUAAGCACCGGCUAACUACGUGCCAGCCGCCGCAGUAA
RNAcentral lists this ribosomal RNA (498 nucleotides) under uncultured bacterium. RNAcentral's name for it is "partial 16S ribosomal RNA". It matches the Rfam family "Bacterial small subunit ribosomal RNA", at positions 30 to 523 of the family's 1533-position model. The record is from RNAcentral.